RNAcentral lists this ribosomal RNA (301 nucleotides) under uncultured bacterium. RNAcentral describes it as "partial 16S ribosomal RNA". It matches the Rfam family "Bacterial small subunit ribosomal RNA", at positions 509 to 807 of the family's 1533-position model. The record is from RNAcentral.
CAGCAGCCGCGGGAAUACGUAGGGUGCGAGCGUUAAUCGGAAUUACUGGGCGUAAAGCGUGCGCAGGCGGCUUUGCAAGACAGAUGUGAAAUCCCCGGGCUCAACCUGGGAACUGCAUUUGUGACUGCAAGGCUAGAGUACGGUAGAGGGGGAUGGAAUUCCGCGUGUAGCAGUGAAAUGCGUAGAUAUGCGGAGGAACACCAAUGGCGAAGGCAAUCCCCUGGACCUGUACUGACGCUCAUGCACGAAAGCGUGGGGAGCAAACAGGAUUAGAUACCCCCGUAGUCCCUGUCUCUUAUAC